GGUCGAGUCGGCCUGCGCGGAAGAUGUAACGGGGCUAAACCAUGCACCGAAGCUGCGGCAGCGAACGUAUCACCCAAGACAACUUUACGGAGUUGACGAUUGACGGAGCGAAGCGACGUCAAAGCGUUCAUUAAAGUCGAGUUGGCUUAGGGAUACGUUCGUUGGGUAGGGGAGCGUUCUGUAAGCCUGUGAAGGUGUGUCGUGAGGCAUGCUGGAGGUAUCAGAAGUGCGAAUGCUGACAUAAGUAACGAUAAAGCGGGUGAAAAGCCCGCUCGCCGGAAGACCAAGGGUUCCUGUCCAACGUUAAUCGGGGCAGGGUGAGUCGACCCCUAAGGCGAGGCCGAAAGGCGUAGUCGAUGGGAAACGGGUUAAUAUUCCCGUACUUGGUGUUACUGCGAAGGGGGGACGGAGAAGGCUAUGUUGGCCGGGCGACGGUUGUCCCGGUUUAAGCGUGUAGGUGUGUGUUCCAGGUAAAUCCGGUUCACUUUAACACUGAGGCGUGACGACGAGGCACUACGGUGCUGAAGCAACAAAUGCCCUGCUUCCAGGAAAAGCCUCUAAGCAUCAGGUAACACGAAAUCGUACCCCAAACCGACACAGGUGGUCAGGUAGAGAAUACCAAGGCGCUUGAGAGAACUCGGGUGAAGGAACUAGGCAAAAUGGUGCCGUAACUUCGGGAGAAGGCACGCUGACACGUAGGUGAAGUGAUUUACUCAUGGAGCUGAAGUCAGUCGAAGAUACCAGCUGGCUGCAACUGUUUAUUAAAAACACAGCACUGUGCAAACACGAAAGUGGACGUAUACGGUGUGACGCCUGCCCGGUGCCGGAAGGUUAAUUGAUGGGGUCAGCGUAAGCGAAGCUCCUGAUCGAAGCCCCGGUAAACGGCGGCCGUAACUAUAACGGUCCUAAGGUAGCGAAAUUCCUUGUCGGGUAAGUUCCGACCUGCACGAAUGGCGUAAUGAUGGCCAGGCUGUCUCCACCCGAGACUCAGUGAAAUUGAACUCGCUGUGAAGAUGCAGUGUACCCGCGGCAAGACGGAAAGACCCCGUGAACCUUUACUAUAGCUUGACACUGAACAUUGAGCCUUGAUGUGUAGGAUAGGUGGGAGGCUUUGAAGUGUGGACGCCAGUCUGCAUGGAGCCGACCUUGAAAUACCACCCUUUAAUGUUUGAUGUUCUAACGUGGACCCGUAAUCCGGGUUGCGGACAGUGUCUGGUGGGUAGUUUGACUGGGGCGGUCUCCUCCUAAAGAGUAACGGAGGAGCACGAAGGUUGGCUAAUCCUGGUCGGACAUCAGGAGGUUAGUGCAAUGGCAUAAGCCAGCUUGACUGCGAGCGUGACGGCGCGAGCAGGUGCGAAAGCAGGUCAUAGUGAUCCGGUGGUUCUGAAUGGAAGGGCCAUCGCUCAACGGAUAAAAGGUACUCCGGGGAUAACAGGCUGAUACCGCCCAAGAGUUCAUAUCGACGGCGGUGUUUGGCACCUCGAUGUCGGCUCAUCACAUCCUGGGGCUGAAGUAGGUCCCAAGGGUAUGGCUGUUCGCCAUUUAAAGUGGUACGCGAGCUGGGUUUAGAACGUCGUGAGACAGUUCGGUCCCUAUCUGCCGUGGGCGCUGGAGAACUGAGGGGGGCUGCUCCUAGUACGAGAGGACCGGAGUGGACGCAUCACUGGUGUUCGGGUUGUCAUGCCAAUGGCACUGCCCGGUAGCUAAAUGCGGAAGAGAUAAGUGCUGAAAGCAUCUAAGCACGAAACUUGCCCCGAGAUGAGUUCUCCCUGAGACUUAGAGUCUCCUGAAGGAACGUUGAAGACGACGACGUUGAUAGGCCGGGUGUGUAAGCGCAGCGAUGCGUUGAGCUAACCGGUACUAAUGAACCGUGAGGCUUAACCUU
Molecule: ribosomal RNA, 1885 nt
Filed under: Salmonella enterica subsp. enterica serovar Typhimurium str. DT104
Lineage: Bacteria; Pseudomonadati; Pseudomonadota; Gammaproteobacteria; Enterobacterales; Enterobacteriaceae
Description: bacterial LSU rRNA
Rfam family: Bacterial large subunit ribosomal RNA
Source: RNAcentral